UUGGCCCUGAAUCAAGGCCAGCAGUUUGCUGAAGCUGUUGGUUUCAAGCAGGAGCCUAAAGAAUUAUCUUUCUAUGGUCUGUUGGCCAUUUCAGAACUUUGAAAAUGUAAUGGUCAAUUCAUUAGAAAGAAACAGUA
Otolemur garnettii (small-eared galago) is the source of this 137-nucleotide small nucleolar RNA. NCBI's taxonomy places the organism in Eukaryota, Metazoa, Chordata, Mammalia, Primates, Galagidae. The record is from Ensembl.